RNAcentral lists this ribosomal RNA (253 nucleotides) under uncultured bacterium. Its description in RNAcentral is "partial 16S ribosomal RNA". It matches the Rfam family "Bacterial small subunit ribosomal RNA", at positions 524 to 776 of the family's 1533-position model. The record is from RNAcentral.
UACGGGGGGGACGAGCGUUGUUCGGAUUUACUGGGCGUAAAGGGCGCGUAGGCGGACUGUCAAGUCGGAAGUGAAAACCGGAGGCUUAACCUCAGGCUUGCUUUCGAUACUGUCAGUCUUGAGUACAGGAGAGGAAAGCGGAAUUCCAGGUGUAGCGGUGAAAUGCGUAGAUAUCUGGAAGAACACCAGUAGCGAAGGCGGCUUUCUGGUCUGAUACUGACGCUAAAGCGCGAAGGCUAGGGGAGCAAACAGG